ACCAGACUCCUACGGGAGGCAGCAGUGGGGGAUAUUGCACAAUGGGGGGAACCCUGAUGCAGCGACGCCGCGUGGGUGAAGAAGCGCCUCGGCGCGUAAAGCCCUGUCAGCAGGGAAGAAAAUGACGGUACCUGAAGAAGAAGCCCCGGCUAACUACGUGCCAGCAGCCGCGGUAAUACGUAGAGGGCAAGCGUUAUCCGGAUUUACUGGGUGUAAAGGGGGCGCAGACGGCGAUGCAAGCCAGGAGUGAAAGCCCGGGGCCCAACCCCGGGACUGCUCUUGGAACUGCGUGGCUGGAGUGCAGGAGGGGCAGGCGGAAUUCCUGGUGUAGCGGUGAAAUGCGUAGAUAUCAGGAGGAACACCGGUGGCGAAGGCGGCCUGCUGGACUGCAACUGACGUUGAGGCCCGAAAGCGUGGGGAGCAAACAGGAUUAGAUACCCCGGUA
This 445-nucleotide ribosomal RNA is filed under the name uncultured bacterium. RNAcentral describes it as "bacterial SSU rRNA". It matches the Rfam family "Bacterial small subunit ribosomal RNA", at positions 330 to 792 of the family's 1533-position model. The record is from RNAcentral.